GACGAACGCUGGCGGCGUGCCUAACACAUGCAAGUCGAGCGAGUGAAUCUCCUUCGGGAGUGAAGCUAGCGGCGGACGGGUGAGUAACACGUGGGCAACCUGCCUCAUAGAGGGGAAUAGCCUUUCGAAAGGAAGAUUAAUACCGCAUAAGAUUGUAGCUUCGCAUGAAGUAGCAAUUAAAGGAACAAUCCGCUAUGAGAUGGGCCCGCGGCGCAUUAGCUAGUUGGUGAGGUAACGGCGCACCAAGGCGACGAUGCGUAGCCGACCUGAGAGGGUGAUCGGCCACAUUGGGACUGAGACACGGCCCAGACUCCUACGGGAGGCAGCAGUGGGGAAUAUUGCACAAUGGGGGAAACCCUGAUGCAGCAACGCCGCGUGAGUGAUGACGGCCUUCGGGUUGUAAAGCUCUGUCUUCAGGGACGAUAAUGACGGUACCUGAGGAGGAAGCCACGGCUAACUACGUGCCAGCCGCCGCGGUAA
Molecule: ribosomal RNA, 480 nt
Filed under: uncultured bacterium
Lineage: Bacteria
Description: partial 16S ribosomal RNA
Rfam family: Bacterial small subunit ribosomal RNA
Source: RNAcentral